CGCGUAGGCGGUCGGGCAAGUCCGGGGUGAAAUCCUGCAGCUUAACUGUAGAAGUGCCUUGGAUACUGCUCGGCUCGAGGGAGGUAGGGGUCUGUGGAACUUCUGGUGGAGCGGUGAAAUGCGUUGAUAUCAGAAGGAACGCCGGUGGCGAAAGCGGCAGACUGGACCUCUUCUAACGCUGAGGCGCGAAAGCUAGGGGAGCAAACGGGAUUAGAUACCCCGGUAGUCCUAGCCCUAAACGUUGAGCACUAGAUUGCAGACUAGUCAUGGGUUUGCAGUCGAAGCAAAAGUGUUAAGUGCUCCGCCUGGGGAGUAUGGUCGCAAGGCUGAA
This 331-nucleotide ribosomal RNA is filed under the name uncultured bacterium. RNAcentral's name for it is "bacterial SSU rRNA". It matches the Rfam family "Bacterial small subunit ribosomal RNA", at positions 568 to 898 of the family's 1533-position model. The record is from RNAcentral.